ACCAGUGUGGCAUUGUGGUUUGAGUGUUGGACUACAACUCUAGAGACCAGGGUUCGAUUCCCAUCUUGGCUA
This 72-nucleotide transfer RNA is filed under the name Phrynosoma platyrhinos (Desert horned lizard). RNAcentral's name for it is "tRNA-OTHER". The record is from RNAcentral. Lineage: Eukaryota; Metazoa; Chordata; Lepidosauria; Squamata; Phrynosomatidae.